This 253-nucleotide ribosomal RNA is filed under the name uncultured bacterium. RNAcentral's name for it is "partial 16S ribosomal RNA". It matches the Rfam family "Bacterial small subunit ribosomal RNA", at positions 524 to 776 of the family's 1533-position model. The record is from RNAcentral.
UACGUAGGGGGCAAGCGUUGUCCGGAUUCAUUGGGCGUAAAGAGCGUGUAGGCGGCCAGGUAGGUCGGUUGUGAAAACUGGAGGCUCAACCUUCAGAGGUCGACCGAAACCAUCUGGCUAGAGUCCGGGAGAGGAGAGUGGAAUUCCUGGUGUAGCGGUGAAAUGCGCAGAUAUCAGGAAGAACACCCGUGGCUAAAGCGGCUCUCUGGAACGGUACUGACGCUGAGACGCGAAAGCGUGGGGAGCGAACAGG